CCUGUAUGAUGAUAAGCAAAUACUGACUGAAUGUGAAGGUCUUAAUUAGCUCUAUCUGAUU
Myotis lucifugus (little brown bat) is the source of this 61-nucleotide small nucleolar RNA. Ensembl annotates it as small nucleolar RNA SNORD44. The record is from Ensembl. Lineage: Eukaryota; Metazoa; Chordata; Mammalia; Chiroptera; Vespertilionidae.